AUUGAACGCUGGCGGCAUGCCUUACACAUGCAAGUCGAACGGCAGCACGGGAGCAAUCCUGGUGGCGAGUGGCGAACGGGUGAGUAAAGUAUCGGAACGUGCCCAGUCGUGGGGGAUAACGCAGCGAAAGUUACGCUAAUACCGCAUACGAUCUAUGGAUGAAAGCGGGGGAUCGCAAGACCUUGCGCGAUUGGAGCGGCCGAUAUCAGAUUAGGUAGUUGGUGGGGUAAAGGCUCACCAAGCCGACGAUCUGUAGCUGGUCUGAGAGGACGACCAGCCACACUGGGACUGAGACACGGCCCAGACUCCUACGGGAGGCAGCAGUGGGGAAUUUUGGACAAUGGGCGAAAGCCUGAUCCAGCCAUGCCGCGUGCAGGAUGAAGGCCUUCGGGUUGUAAACUGCUUUUGUACGGAACGAAAAGGUUUGGCCUAAUAAGCUGAACUCACGACGGUACCGUAAGAAUAAGCACCGGCUAACUACGUGCCAGCCGCCGCGGUAA
Molecule: ribosomal RNA, 500 nt
Filed under: uncultured bacterium
Lineage: Bacteria
Description: partial 16S ribosomal RNA
Rfam family: Bacterial small subunit ribosomal RNA
Source: RNAcentral